GACGAACGCUGGCGGCGUGCCUAACACAUGCAAGUCGAGCGGGGGACAAUGGCUUCGGUUAUUGUUCUAGCGGCGGACGGGUGAGUAACGCGUGAGCAACCUUUCUCUCAGCGGGGAAUAACACAGGGAAACUUGUACUAAUACCGCAUAAGACCACAGAAGGGCAUCCUUCAGGGGUCAAAGAUUUAUCACUGAGAGGUGGGCUCGCGUCUGAUUAGAUAGUUGGUGGGGUAACGGCCUACCAAGUCGACGAUCAGUAGCCGACCUGAGAGGGUGAUCGGCCACAUUGGGACUGAGACACGGCCCAA
This 308-nucleotide ribosomal RNA is filed under the name uncultured bacterium. Its description in RNAcentral is "bacterial SSU rRNA". It matches the Rfam family "Bacterial small subunit ribosomal RNA", at positions 28 to 334 of the family's 1533-position model. The record is from RNAcentral.